CCUACGGGUGGCAGCAGUGAGGAAUAUUGGUCAAUGGGCGGGAGCCUGAACCAGCCAAGUCGCGUGAGGGAAGACGGUCCUAUGGAUUGUAAACCUCUUUAGGCGGGGAGCAAUGCCGGGCACGCGUGCCCGGAGGGCGAGUACCCGCAGAAUCAGCAUCGGCUAACUCCGUGCCAGCAGCCGCGGUAAUACGGGGGAUGCGAGCGUUAUCCGGUUUUAUUGGGGUUAAAGGGUGCGUAGGCGGAGUGUUAAGUCAGCGGUAAAAUGUCCGGGCUCAACCCGGGCCGGCCGUUGAAACUGGUGAGCUUGAGUGGGCGAGAAGUAUGCGGAAUUCGUGGUGUAGCGGUGAAAUGCAUAGAUAUCACGCAGAACUCCGAUUGCGAAGGCAGCCUGCUGGACUGUAACUGACGCUGAGGCUCGAAAGUGUGGGUAUCAAACAGGAUUAGAUACCCGGGUAGUC
This 460-nucleotide ribosomal RNA is filed under the name uncultured bacterium. RNAcentral's name for it is "partial 16S ribosomal RNA". It matches the Rfam family "Bacterial small subunit ribosomal RNA", at positions 338 to 795 of the family's 1533-position model. The record is from RNAcentral.